UACGGGGGGUGCGAGCGUUGUUCGGAAUCACUGGGCGUAAAGGGCGCGUAGGUGGUUUGAUAAGGGUGUGGUGAAAGUCCGGAGCUCAACUCCGGAUCUGCCGUGCCGACUGUCAAACUCGAGGGCUGUAGAGGCAGACGGAAUUCCGGGUGUAGCGGUGGAAUGCGUAGAGAUCCGGAGGAAGACCGGUGGCGAAGGCGGUCUGCUGGGCAGUUUCUGACACUGAGGCGCGACAGCGUGGGGAGCAAACAGG
RNAcentral lists this ribosomal RNA (253 nucleotides) under uncultured bacterium. RNAcentral's name for it is "partial 16S ribosomal RNA". It matches the Rfam family "Bacterial small subunit ribosomal RNA", at positions 524 to 776 of the family's 1533-position model. The record is from RNAcentral.